ACCGCUCUAUGAAAGUCACUAGAUAGUUACAAUAUUUCUUCCAUCUUUGAUUUUGUGAGUAGUAGGGGAGAUGUCAGGUAUCUUUUUAGGUUUGCGAAAGAUUGUUGGCAUUCAUCGGAUCAUGAAAAGUCUGUCGUUUGUCAUAAGAUCUUGAAGAAGGAUAGGCAUCUUUCUUCUGACUUCGAGAUGAAUCGGCUAAAUACGACG
This 207-nucleotide long non-coding RNA is filed under the name Elaeis guineensis (African oil palm). Its description in RNAcentral is "long non-coding RNA (EGUI_LNC006745)". Lineage: Eukaryota; Viridiplantae; Streptophyta; Magnoliopsida; Arecales; Arecaceae. The record is from RNAcentral.